CUUGAGCUCACACUAGCCGUGGAAAUAAUGCUGCCUCUACGUGCCGGAAUCAUGACACGGGCGGCGUGUUUAAUACCUAGGAAAACUCCAGUCACAUUAAUGCUAAGAACGCGCUCAAAAUCGGCCUUUUCAUUGUCGAUUAUUCGAGGUUUGUUCUCAUCAGCAAUGCCCGCAUUGUUGAACAUUAUGUCAAGCUUGCCAUAGGUAGCAACUGCUUUGUCAACUGCAUUUUUAAUAUGGGCCUCAUCGGAAACAUCG
Molecule: unclassified non-coding RNA, 258 nt
Filed under: Hevea brasiliensis (rubber tree)
Lineage: Eukaryota; Viridiplantae; Streptophyta; Magnoliopsida; Malpighiales; Euphorbiaceae
Source: RNAcentral